This 497-nucleotide ribosomal RNA is filed under the name uncultured bacterium. Its description in RNAcentral is "partial 16S ribosomal RNA". It matches the Rfam family "Bacterial small subunit ribosomal RNA", at positions 28 to 507 of the family's 1533-position model. The record is from RNAcentral.
GAUGAACGCUGGCGGCGUGCCUAAUACAUGCAAGUCGAGCGAACAGAUGAGGAGCUUGCUCCUCUGACGUUAGCGGCGGACGGGUGAGUAACACGUGGAUAACCUACCUAUAAGACUGGGAUAACUUCGGGAAACCGGAGCUAAUACCGGAUAAUAUAUUGAACCGCAUGGUUCAAUAGUUAAAGACGGUUUUGCUGUCACUUAUAGAUGGAUCCGCGCCGCAUUAGCUAGUUGGUAAGGUAACGGCUUACCAAGGCAACGAUGCGUAGCCGACCUGAGAGGGUGAUCGGCCACACUGGAACUGAGACACGGUCCAGACUCCUACGGGAGGCAGCAGUAGGGAAUCUUCCGCAAUGGGCGAAAGCUUGACAGAGCAACGCCGCGUGAGUGAUGAAGGUCUUCGGAUCGUAAAACUCUGUUAUUAGGGAAGAACAAAUGUGUAAGUAACUAUGCACGUCUUGACGGUACCUAAUCAGAAAGCCACGGCUAACUACGUG